CCUACGGGGGGCAGCAGUGGGGAAUAUUGCACAAUGCGGGAAACCCUGAUGCAGCGACGCCGCGUGAGCGAUGAAGUACCUCGGUACGUAAAGCUCUAUCAGCAGGGAAGAAAGUGACAGUACCUGACUAAGAAGCUCCGGCUAACUACGUGCCAGCAGCCGCGGUAUUACGGAGGGGGCAAGCGUUAUCCGGAUUGACUGGGCGUAAAGGGAGCGCAGGUGGCACGGCAAGUCUGGAGUGAAAGCCGGGAGCUCAACCCCAGGACGGCAAUGGAAACUACCCGGCUAGAGUGUCGGAGGGGUAUGCAGAAUUCCUGGUGUAGCGGUGAAAUGCGUAGAUAUUAGGAGGAACACCAGUGGCGAAGGCGGCAUACUGGACGAUAACUGACGCUGAGGCGCGAAAGCGUGGGGAGCAAACAGGAUUAGAUACCCCAGUAGUC
Molecule: ribosomal RNA, 440 nt
Filed under: uncultured bacterium
Lineage: Bacteria
Description: partial 16S ribosomal RNA
Rfam family: Bacterial small subunit ribosomal RNA
Source: RNAcentral